AGAAUCUGAGGAUAAUUCAGAGAGCUCCAGAGAGCUCCAUCUAGUGAUGAGAGAAACCUACCCAUGAAUGAAUUGUCAAAGCCCCUUGCUGAAAACUCAGAGAGAGGAAUGAAUUCUUGUGGAUAGGACCAGAGGUUGAAUGACUCUCUCCCAAGCAAGCAGAUGGUGUAUCCCUGAGGUGGAAGUGCAGGUCCUGGGGCAAAUUUUGGGCAAGAUGGACCACUUGAAGGAAGCUGUGACUCUUCAGAUGUAUAUGGGUCUUUUCAGAUAGUGAAGAAAACUGAGAAUCCCUGGAACCACAGUAGCAAGCCAUGAAGUGAACAGUUUUGCUCCCUGCUAUGAUGUGCUAUCAUGCCACAGGCCCAAAAUCAAUGGGGCAAAUUGAUCAUGCACUGAAACCUCCAAAAGUGUGAGUUGCAA
Long non-coding RNA from Castor canadensis (American beaver), 420 nucleotides. RefSeq lists it as uncharacterized. Lineage: Eukaryota; Metazoa; Chordata; Mammalia; Rodentia; Castoridae. The record is from RefSeq and is a predicted model, not a curated record.